Molecule: long non-coding RNA, 560 nt
Organism: Catharus ustulatus (Swainson's thrush)
Lineage: Eukaryota; Metazoa; Chordata; Aves; Passeriformes; Turdidae
Exons: 4
Source: RefSeq, a predicted model, not a curated record
UCGGCUUCGGAGCUCGUAGAUGCAAAUGAUUUUACUUGUCCAGAGCUGCUGCCCGCCCACAGCAGCCCGGCUGAUGGUGCUGCCUCCCCCUCUGCCUCCUCCUCCCCUCCCCACGCCUGCGCGCACACUCGCACCCCGUGGGCUGCUCGUUUUGGAAUCACUACGGCCCCUGCUGAACGAGCAAAGGCUGGACUGCUGGCACACACCUCAAGCCUGAGGCUGCACACCUUUCCCUGCAGGCAGCGGCAGCCACACAGGCUGAACAUUCCCACUUCUCUUAGCAUUUGCACAUAGGAGAGGUGUUCCAACCCUCCAGUCUUCUUGGUGGCCUCCUUUGGACUCCCUCCAACAAGUCAAUGGUGCUUCCCACGCUGGGGAUGCCAGAGCUGGACACAAUACACAAGGGUGACUCCCUGAAUACAAAAAACGCCUGAAUGGAACUCUGUUUCAGAUGAAGCCAAAUCUUGUCUGGAUUUUCAUCUGGCUCAUUCACAAAAGGAAUGGUUAAAUCAGAUGCACUGCAGGAACAUUUAAUAAAAUAUUUAAGUAAGUACAGUAAA